UAUAAAUUAGUUUAAUUGAACUAUGGUUUUUGUAGCCAUGAGAAAUAGUAUAAUUCUAUUAUUUAUAA
RNAcentral lists this transfer RNA (68 nucleotides) under Tomocerus qinae. Its description in RNAcentral is "tRNA-Gln". The record is from RNAcentral. Lineage: Eukaryota; Metazoa; Arthropoda; Collembola; Entomobryomorpha; Tomoceridae.